GGCCCUAUGCCGGGGCCUUCUCAUCCCCGACCUCACUCAGUCCCUUCUCAUAGGCCCCUCAGGGUUGACCACGCUGUACAGAAGGCGGGGAGUUGAGGCUCAGAGCGAGAUGUGACUUGCCCAAGACCACACAGCGUGUGCGUGAGUAGCUGAGCUGCGACUGCCACCCAGUCUGUUCCGGGCUUCAAGGGCUGCUCUUUUGUGGAAAAUCUCACCGACUUGGAAAGUGACCAGAAGGAAGUUCCAGGAAGGAGACCUCACUCUGCAGGUGCCAGGAGCCUCCCUCAAGAUAUGUCGCUGCCUGCUUCCACCUCCACCUGCGCUUGGCUCUCUUCCCCUGGGACACCACCUGAACAGACCAAACACGCGGCUCUUCUCAGCUUCCAGGCAGGGGUGGCUUCUGUGGGUCCUUGGGAUGGACACAGAUGAAGGCGGAAGGAGAUGUGAGGCAGGGUCGGCUGUGGUGUCCCUGACCCCACGUGGAAGUCGAGGCCAGCGAGGGACAGAGACCUGGAGAAGCAGGCCUGGGCACCGUAGGGCAGGACUACAGACUCCUGACCUCUCCCUGCACCGGAACAGAGGGUCUUGUCUUCCGCACUCUGGAGAGACCCCAACAAGCCACGUGCUCCCUACCAAGGCCAGAACUAGCAGAACGAGGAAGCCCCCACUCCAGGGCUGAGCUGGAAGAGCUGGUGGGGUCUCUGUAGGAGACUGUAGGCUCUGGGGAGGGGCAGCAGGGCGGCAGCACUGGGCUCAGAUCUGGCCCAUCUGCAUGUGCUCCAUCCGUCUGGUCCCCCAGCCAGACCCUCCUCCCUCUUGGCUCUCUGACCUCAGAGGUGCUGGGGCAGGGCAGGGGCUGCUGAGGAGCCAUAUCCAUAGGUGACCUCUGGGAGCGGGUCGUAUAUGCUGCAGUUGGGCAUGGGACCCUUGCAGUAGAUGUUGAGGUAGCCACGGUACUCCUCCCUGUACACCCGGUUCUUGAGGCACAGAGCCACGCUCUUGUCACACUCGCACGUCUGCUUGUCACACUCUGUCUUGUUGAGCUCGCCUGGGGAUGGGAAGGGUGCAAAGCUUUGACUGGUGGGGCAGCAGCCACACCAGGAUGUUGGGGGAUGGGGACGCAGACCUUGGGACCCCAGGGGCCCCGAGAAUGUGGCCCUAUCCCAGGCUGUGGGGCCAGCUGCUCCAGAUGGGGUCCUUCAGUUUAUUGUAACAAAUCCUGCGGUGAGUCUAGUGCAGGUGAAAACCAGGAAACCACUGAAGUCCAACAUGGGCUUUGUAUAGUUGGACAGAGGCCCAGAAAGAGGGACGGUUUAUCUAAGUCAUCCAGAAAACCAGAGGUCCACCCUGGCCGUAAUUUUACUCUUUCUCCUCUCCCAGGCCUCCCUACUCCAGUCCCAGGGCCAAAACCCCCCACCCUGGAUGGAGUGAUUGAGUGGCAGGAAGUACUUACACUCAUUUGUGUGUGUGCUCAUCAGUUCUAACACCAACUGCUUGCUUGUGCUAAUUCCUACCCUUGAUCUUAGCCAAAAGGCUGAGAAGCGAGGCUUGCGCUAAUUCUUAAUUUUAUGCUACGGUUGACUUUAGACGGAUGUUUACUUGUUAGUGUCACUUUGUCCCAUGCAAUGUUUGGGACACGCUUAUGCCACAUGUUUUUCAUUGUUUGCCUGAGAUCCCAGCACAAUGGGGCACAACACAGGGUGAGACCACUGUUGAGGGGGUGACUCACUGCAGACGAUCACAGUGUCAUUCUCGAUCACGUAGUCAUAGUGGUCCACAUAGGGGCGGCAGCCCUGGUCAAAGAGCUUCUGGUAGCAGCAGUCGUGGGCAUGGCAGCACCUGGGAGUGGGCAGGGGUGAGCAGGCAGAAAUAGCCAGCUGGUCCAUUCCUCCUCCCCAGCAGACCAUCUGUCCCUGUCCCUCGUGGGUCAGACCUUUAGACUGUAGCCCAGGGAGGGCCAGUUACUCGCUUGAGUAACCACACGCAGAGCUGGGGCUGGUGUCCUGGGAUCUUGUCCUUAUUCCCACCUCUUAUCCUAUCCUCAGAGUUCCCACCUUCCCCAGCUGGAGCCCAGCAUACAGCUGCUGGGGUGUGGGGACUGUUAGGGGGCCCCGAAGUGAGGUCAGUGUGGGAGGCAGGGGCCUGGGCUCUGGAUGCAGAGGCUCCGCCUGGCUGGGUCGAGUGUCCAUGGAGGGAUAUGGUCUGGAGGGUCAGCGGGCAUUGCCAGAAGGGGGGUGGGCAGUAGGUGCAGAGCGGCUGUCCCUGUCACCUCUGGAGGAAUGAAAUUAGUGGUCAGCACGCAUUUGUUAAGUUCCCAGUGACGCCACCCUGGAUGCUGCUUGCUGUAAGGGAGGUGGCGUAGAAGCCAUGGUGUGGGGGACUUCCAGGCUGGCAGAGGAAGCACAGCCCUGUCCUCCAGAGCUUCCAGUCCAAUGGAGCAAGUGUCAUGGUCCUUGCUGUUCAGAGAUCAGCUGUGUGACUGUUGUUCCCUUGUGCAUUUGGGAACCCAGCAAAGGUUCCAUGCGUGCCUUUGCCCGAGACUUUGGAGGAGGAAAACACAAAGGCUCCAAGGCAGAUGGGGAAGACAUGGUCAAAGGUCAGGAUAAUCGCCCGUAACAUCAAAUAGGCCCUGUCCUUUGGGAGAGGGCUUCCUUUGUCCUCACAAACACGGAGGCCAACAUGGACCUUCAGCUGUCCCCUUGGUCCCCGACAAGAGCCCAGAGCAGCAGCACCUACCAGUCCACUUCAUCCUUGGGCUGGCCGCGCCCCCCCAGCCCGCAGUAGCAGCCAUAGCCCACGAAGGACAGGAUGGCGCCUCUGCCUGUGACGGCCUCCACCAUGGACUUGAGGUUGAACAGGCUGCCAUAGGCAGUGGACAAAACUGCAAGAGAACCAAAGGGAUGUGUGAGCCCUACCCCAUGACUGUCCUCCCCCUGCCCAGGGCCAAGGGAAAGGGGAGGAAAGGGGGAAAGCAGGAGAGGUAGGGCAGUGCAGAGAGCAAAGGAGAGAGGAAAUCUGCAAGGUCUCGAAGACGGUGCAUUACCGAUGUCCUGCAUUACAGCUUACGUUCCCGAGGAACUGGCACGUUCAUUCUAGCUGAGGCCGCGUUCCGUGCCAGGCACGGUCCUGAGCUCUUCUGUGCACCGUGCUUGGAGUACUCACUGCAGCCCUCAAGCAGUCAUCUCUUUUUAUAGAUAAGGAGGCUGAGGCUGGAGCAAUUUUUAACUUGUCCAAGGUCAAGUCGUCAAAGAGGGGUGGAGACAGAACCAGGAUCCAGGCAGUGAGGUUUCCUCACCCACACCCUGUGUCACUUGGCUGUACAAAUGCUCCUCCAUUUAUGAUGGUACAUGCUGAUAAACCCAUUAUAAGAUCUCCCUGUGUCUCACCAGCCUGGGAAAACAUCCGAACUCAAAAUUUGAAAUAUGGUGUCUAGUAAAUGUGUGUUAUUUUUCACCAUCAUAAAGUGAGAAAAAAAAACCAAAACAUUCAAGUCAAACCAUCACGAGCUGGGGACCAUCUGAAUUGAACAUGGUCCCUAAGGAGGGGCUUGCCACAUGCCUCACACGCUGGAGGGGCUUUGCAAAUGCCACAUGUGGUUAGGAGCUAUAGGGCUCUGAUUCUGGGUCCUUCCUCUCCUUCCCUGGCCCGUCUCUGCCCCCUGUGAGAGUCAGGGUCCCCAUCUCAGCCUGGAGUUUGUGCCUCUCAGGCUUAAUCCAGAGAAAAUUCAGAAAGGGUUUCCUAUUGCUGGCUCAGGCUGGCUGGUGUUUGGGAGAGGCACACCCACGUGUGUUCAUGCACACACACAUGUACACACUAAUGCGUGCACAGAGGAAGCAGUAGUGCAAGGACAUUUCCUAUACCAGACAAAUCCACUUCCUGGUUUUCACUAGGCCCACCCAGUGCUGGGAUGCAUGCUCCUGGCACCCAUAGUCCUUUCCUGGGCGAAGCCACCCCACACACCAGCAGGAAAGUCAUUCUAUCUCCAUUUAUGGGUGAGAAAAUUAAGGCCCAGAAAGGUGAAAGCUCACCUGGGUCCUACAGGCCGGAAGUGGCAGAGCCCAGAAUGGAACUUGGGUUUGUUGGCCCUGAGCUGGGAUGUUAACCGUCAUGCAGCACAGACCUCACCUGCAAUUUCUAUCCUUGGGCGCCUCCAGCUGCACCCAGGGUUAAGUGCCUGGAUCAGUGCCUGCCUCCUGCUCCCUCCGAGUUCCUCCCCGCUCUGCCCUCCUGCAUGAACUAGGAAAUGUUCUCAGAGAAAGUUGAGGACUUCAGAGGCUUGAUGGACCCCAAGGGCUACACUUGCUUUUUGAGAUGCGGUUGUUCAAAACUUCUAGUGAUGGAGAAUGAUCACCACCGCAACCAACGCGGAAGAGCUCAGACUUUGGAGUCAAGCAGACUUGAACCCAAAACAACAGCUCCUUGGGGAUCCAUUUCCACAUCUGUACGAUGGGGGUGACUGCCUGGGCUGGGACAGACCUGUGGGCCAGUGCCUGGCGUGAGUCUAGCUCAUCCCAGAUCCUUGCAGCCACCACAGUGCCGCCUCUCAGGGGUUGGUGGGGCCCUGGGUCAGGCCUGUCUCACCAUCGGGGUGUAGGUUGGGAAUCCUGCUCCCCCAGAGUCUUCUGGGGUUGACUGUACGGUGUCCACCAUUCAGAGAACAAAGAGCAAAGAAGAGGAAAAGAAGAAGGACAAGGGGAAAAUGAAAGAUGACUCUGAAGAGAGUGGCUUAUCACCUCGGAAGUGUCCUAGGCUGGGGUUCAGGGCAGGAGGGAGGGCACUGCCUCCAGUAGUCCUGAGCCCUUCUCCUAGAUGCAGACAGGGGCUGGCCUGAAAGGCCUGUUGCCGAGAGCAGGUGCCAGGGCUGCUCCCUAUCCUCUUAUUGAGUCCUCUGGAAGAAAACUGUAAGUGUGAAGUUGCUUGGGAGCCACCCAGGAUUGGGCUGGAAAAUAGGUUUAACCAAGACUCUGGCGAACUCAGCUUCAGUUCUAGGAUCUGAGGACUGAGAAGAGUGACAUCGUCUCACAGGCCCUCGGGGUUUAAGUGCCACCAUGCAUGUGCAGAGAGCACCUGCCCGAGGCGUGAGGCUCUGGCCACCUCCUCUCCCACGCAGGGUCCCCGUCUCCCCAUCUGUUGUGCGGAUGUUAUAGGAGGUAUGAUGGCUCCAGGCCCCAGACCCCCUGACUGUCAGCUUCCAUGAAGCAAAAGAGUGGGAACUUACCUGGUCACCCAGUGGGGACGUGCAUGCGCACACCCGCUCUUACGUGCACCUGCUUCACACCCUUGGGCUCACACAGACCCCAGACACACUCACACCCUUCCCACUCCUGCACACAUGUAUUCUCACUCCUCACAAAUGUGCUCACACGCGUGGCACCCAGGGGAGAAGCAGUGGUGUGCGCUGAGGUCACAUCCACACACGCACUCCAGGCAGAAGACACCCGGUCUGCAGCCAGCCCAGCUGCAGGCUCUCGGGCUGCACACAGCAGUAGCUUUGUAACUGGCAGGGCACUGUGCUUGGAUGCGAAUAGCCCUUUCUCAUGGACUUCUCCACAAGCCAGGCUGUGCUCGGGUGAUGUUCGGGGCGGUGAGAAAAGCCUGCAAGAGGUUCAGGCAGCAUUCCGCACACACCAGAGGAGCUGCCGAUGGAACAUCAGCGUGUGCGGUGGAGUCAGAGGUAUCUCGGGAGCUUCACUUGACAAUCCUGGGGGCAGCUGGCCCUGACCCAUGAUGACUGGACCACCACCCCUUGGAAAGGAGCCCACAAACCCACACCCACCCUUGUGCAGAGUGCUGUGUCUUACAUUCACACUCACAUUCUGGAGGCGCAUGCCACAAUGAAUGCACGCUCACACAGAUACACACACGGGUCCACACACUCAGUGUAAACCCCGACACACAUUUUCUGGACAUGCGCUGCACACACAGACAUUCCCACCUGUUCUGACACACCCAGACGACAUACUAACUUGCAUCUAGCUGCAGUGUACAAACUCAUUAACUCUUGCAGACAUGUACACACACUUAAGCACACAAACGCGUGCCAACAUCACUUCUGGACGCUUGCUUAGCGACGCGCUCUGCUCCCUCACGGCUCGUAAAUGCCAAGGCCCCUGGCGUGCUUACAGGUGGCUGAGGAGUAAACAACCCCAGAGGAGAGGAUGAAGCCGGACUGGGAAGUGGAGGCCCAGAGAGAGGAAGGAGCUGCCUGGCCAGUGGGGCAAUAAUGCAGGUGCCCAGGGUCACAGGAGGGAGGUGUGGGGCAGGAGCUCCCAGAGCAAUGCUCACCACUGCCGGCCAGGAUGGUGAUGGCCAAGAACUUCUUCACACCCAGGCCGGACCUGAGAGAGGAAACUGAGCCUGAGUCUUCACCCUGCAUGAUCCUGCAGUUCUGGGCCCCACCACAGGCAUCACCCAGGCUGCUCCUCGAUGGUCCAGUAGCCGCCACCUGGUUCCGUGAUUAACGCCCCACCCGCCCUCCCUGUAGUAUCACACCCUAGAGCGGCAUAGCUGGGAAGCACCGGGACCAGCCUCCCUCCGCCCAAAAGCUUCCAAAACAGGGAGCUACUGUCUCAGGUCAGAACCUCUCCCCUUCCUACUCCCGGGAGUAGUUCUGGGACCCGGAGUCAUGCGACCUAUCCUGCAAGCUGGUUCCUGAACCCAGAGCCAAAAGAUCUGGGGUCCCGGAUUCUAGGGCUGGCUCUGCUUCCAAAAUGUUGAGUAACCGUGGAGAGAUCCUUUAGUCUUUCUGGGCCUCAAGUGCUGUAGGACGAUUGACUCAACGCCCCCAAAGCCCUUCUAGGGCUGAAAAUGUAGUGACAUUCGUCAGUCCGGCACUCAGAGACUCAGAGGUCUCCUUUCAGGAGAAACGGAUUCUAGGAGCCAGCACAACCCCCCAUCCCGGGCCCUCUCCAUCCUGGGUCAACAGGCACCUACCUGGAGCAUCUCAAUGGGGAAGAGGCACUGAGGCUUGGGUCCUUCCACCCAGAGGACCGUCUAACCAGCACCUUCUUCCUGAACCCUUUGGGGCUGGCCUGCACCCCAUCUGCCAUGUUCUGGGUUCCAGGGGGCCAGUGACAUAGGUCUUGAAAUCUUGAUGUGCUCCGGAGGUACUGGGGAGUGGGCCCCAGCUUCACACUACCGCACACGCUGACAGGGUAGGGCUGGGGCAGUGCCCCUGGGCAGGAGGCAGGUGACAGAUGCCCUAGAAAAAGCAGGCUCCGCCCCCUCCCUCCCACUGCAACUGCCCUGCCCACAGUCCCCACCUCCAAUGUGCACUGACUUGCCCUGCUGGGGGGUUUAGGUACCUGCCAAGGAGUUGGCUUCUUUCGCUCGGUAUCUGAUAGGAAAUGAGCCCAGAGGCCUCUCUAUCUCCAUCUGAAGAUGCGAAAGAAAAAGUUCUUCAAUGACACUUGUCAAAGCACAGUAGCGUGGAAUUUAUUCAAGGGUAUAGGAACCACAGCAUUAGAGUCUCCUGGUGAGGAGGAGAAACUGGGAGUCCAAAUACAGCAAGGAAAAGGGGGAUUUCUGGUUAAGGAAUAAGGUUAGGGUUGGUGAAUGGAAAAUUACCAAGACGAAACCCCAGGGAUGAGGGGGUUCUUGCCAAACUGACCUAACAGGCUUAUAGCUGAGGAGGCUGGAGAAAUCAGACACCACCUAGGGGGCUGUGGAAGCUAAGGACCUGAUCAGACACCAGGGUGACCAAACAGAGAUGGAGAGCAGGGAUCCUGGCUAAACCAACGCAGAAGCAUCCUUGCUAUAACCGGAUGACAGAGAGAGAUGGAAGUCCAGACAUCAAGGCCCAGAUGAGAGAGUUCAGAGGGCUCUGAGCUGAGUUUGGUCAAGAAGACUUUUGUCAAAGGGGCCCGUGUGUGCCUGUCUGGAAGGGAGUUAAUUUGUAGCGAGCUCCCCACCCACAUCUGCAAGGGGGCUGCACUCAUCUGGAAGAGGGUCAGUGUCCCCGUCCACCCAGGCCAAGACUAGAGGGGCCUGGGCACAUCCUUCCUCCAGGAAGUGCCCCCAGCGCCCACCUGGAAGGGCUGUCCUGCUCAGCCUGACUGACCUGCUGACCGCAGACCUCCUUUCUGUGCAUCCCAGGAAGCAGAGUAGCACCCUUGUGCUGCCCUCCCCGCACCCACUCUGAAGUUGUCACAACCAGAAAUGCCCCUGAAAUUUGAACGCGAGGCACCAUUGCCUCUGGUUGGGGGCCUGAGACACUCAAGAGUCAGCGCAGACUUUUUUUCUUGCUUGGGAAAUGAGGUGUGCACAGAAGGGAGUGGGCAGAGGAGAAGAAAGGGGAAUCCUGAGCUCCAGGAGCCACUCCGUCAGACUGAGCAGUGAUGCUGGUGGGGCUCCCGUCCCUAGCACCCCCAGUUGCUGGUUGAGUCCUGGCAAGAAUGUUCCAAGACUCGUCAUGUAGAGGUACAAGAUACCAACAAUGA
Fukomys damarensis (Damara mole-rat) is the source of this 8438-nucleotide long non-coding RNA. RefSeq lists it as uncharacterized. The record is from RefSeq and is a predicted model, not a curated record. The transcript is spliced from 5 exons. NCBI's taxonomy places the organism in Eukaryota, Metazoa, Chordata, Mammalia, Rodentia, Bathyergidae.